GAUACCCUAUUAUUAUAAAUGUAAAAUUUUUACUAAAAUAAUUAUUAGUUAAGUUCUUUAAAAUUAAAAAUUUUGGCGGUAUUUUAGUCUUUUCAGAGGAACCUGUUUUUUAAUUGAUAGUCCACGAUUAAUAGUACUUAAUUUUUAAAUUUACAUAUCGUCGUUUAUAAAAAUUUUAUUAGAAUUAUAAUUUUUAAUAUUUUUUAUUAAAUUUUAAUUCAGAUCAAGGUGUAGUUGAUAUUUAAGUUUAAAUGGGUUACAUUAUUAUUAUUUUUGGUUUUAUAUUUUAAAAUUAUAAUUAAAUUGGAUUUGAAAGUAAUUAUUAUAUUUAUUUAUAAUGAUUUAGCUCUAAAAUAUGUACACAUCGCC
This 369-nucleotide ribosomal RNA is filed under the name Nolicima sp. GJK-2014. RNAcentral describes it as "partial 12S ribosomal RNA". Lineage: Eukaryota; Metazoa; Arthropoda; Insecta; Coleoptera; Tenebrionidae. The record is from RNAcentral.